Molecule: ribosomal RNA, 465 nt
Filed under: uncultured bacterium
Lineage: Bacteria
Description: bacterial SSU rRNA
Rfam family: Bacterial small subunit ribosomal RNA
Source: RNAcentral
CCUACGGGGGGCAGCAGUAGGGAAUCUUCCGCAAUGGACGAAAGUCUGACGGAGCAACGCCGCGUGAGCGAAGAAGGUCUUCGGAUCGUAAAGCUCUGUUGUUAGGGAAGAACAAGUAUCGGAGGAAAUGCCGGUACCUUGACGGUACCUGACGAGAAAGCCACGGCUAACUACGUGCCAGCAGCCGCGGUAAUACGCAGGUGGCAAGCGUUGUCCGGAUUUAUUGGGCGUAAAGCGCGCGCAGGCGGUCCUUUCAGUCUGAUGUGAAAUCUUGCGGCUCAACCGCAAGCGGUCAUUGGGAACUGGGGGACGUGAGUGCAGAAGAGGAAAGCGGUAUUCCACGUGUAGCGGUGAAACGCGUAGAGAUGUGGAGGAUCGCCAGUGGCGAAGGCGGCUUUCUGGUCUGUAACUGACGCUGAGGCGCGAAAGCGUGGGGGGCAAACAGGAUUAGAUACCCUAUUAGUG